CUGCAUUGCUGAUAGUGACCAACUGUCUCAGAUCUCUCUCCACACCCUUCCAAUGUCCCAGAUGGUCUUUGCAUGGUAAAAUCUCACCAGAUUAAACCUUGCACAUUACAACCAGUCUUAAAGAUGUGGGGUUCUGUGCUAUGUACACUGGAGCCAAACCACCCAAGUGUCAAUUGCCUGUUGUUCCAUCUCUUCAGCUUCUUCGGUGGUCUGCUGCUGUAUGAGGAGCAGUGAGAAAAAAAAACCACUGCUGACAGUGGGUAAUGAUGAAGUCUCUUGGCUCUCUCCCAAACAUCUCCUGGCAACAGAGUCAACCAAAUUAAUUUUGUCCAAGAAAAGAUCUACUAUGGAACUUUUGAUAAGAAACUGGUCAGCCAUUCUGAGAGUGGUGGAAAGCCUGUCAAGGUCACUGCCAAGGACAAGAGAGUCAAUUAGUAUGCAGAUCAGAGCCAAGGAGUUCAAAGGUGUGAUGGCAGAUUAAAUCCAUGACAGGAAACAGUGAUAAUGCCCACUGUAGAGCCGUGUGGUGUAAAGGUCCCUAAGAAUGGUACAGCUGAAAUGGGAGGAUGAAGAAAUGUAUUGGCUAUGACAAGAAGAAGUAAUUGCUUUUCCUCAAAGGAUCAGAUGUGGUAUAGUUGUUUGAAAAACAAUCUAAACAACAUUUUGUUCACCAUUGAUUUUAAAAGCAUUAAAAUUAGUUUUUAUGCAGCUAUACUCAUUAAGCUUUUAUGUAUACUGUGUAGGGUGAAUAGUUAAGAAGCAAUAAAGCAUUCUGCAGUAAAAUAUACUUUGCCAGUUGUCAGAAGAAAUAAAAUACAUAGAUUGGGAAUGUUUGUUUCCUGUGGAAUAUUGCGAUAUUUGCCGUGUUAAUUACAAUCCAAAUAAAGCUAUUUUAUUUGUGUAUUUUAAACAGCCCUGUAGCUGUAGAUGGCUAAUACAACUGUUAUUGAAAGUGUUGUGUUUGGGGGUAGUGUGUUCAUACUGAUGAGAAACAAUCAUCAGCUACAUAUAUCCCAACAAUUCUUGCAUUCUAAAAAUAAAUCUUCUCUUAGAAUUGGUGUUCCAAAGUCUAAUUGUAAAUUUUAGCCUCAAAAACCAAACGAAAGUGUCAUGCUGUGCAAUUUUCUUCUCUUUAGUUCCUCAUGUCAGUAUCUGCAUUCAUACACAAACUAGUUCCCCUAAUUUCACUGAAGUAGUUAACAAUUUAUUAGAAAAGGAAAUAGUCUGGAAAACAGCAACAGUCUAGUGCCCAAGGAAAGGAAACCUAUUUGGUUAUUACUUGGAAGAGCAUAACCAUUUAUUUUGUUUCUCAAAAAUGAAGAGAGGAGUAUGUGUACACUACAACAACAUGCCAUCAGAGAGAAUAAUGCAUAUAAAAAUGAAUUCCUGUUAUUGUGUUCAGGUGUGUUUGUGAAUAAAAAAUGGAAUUUUGAAAAGUCAAUUAAAAUGCAUUUAAAUUCUUUAACACCGGAAUUCUUUAAUGUGAAAAAUUUUUCUAGACAGUUUGUCAGUAUCGCUGUAAGCACUGUGCUGUGAUCAGAACUGGUUUCCCCCACCUAUGACUGUUAGAUGGCUCAGAAAUGCAUUACACCUUCCUGUUUCAAAUGAGGAGACCACUCUUGAAAACAUGGAAGUACUUAUAAAGUAAAUAACCUUUAAUUAAAUAUCAUUGUCUAGCAUUAAUCUUUAUAGCUCUGUUCCCUAUGGAAAUAAAAGUGGAUAUUCAAUUUGUUUUGAUUAUGCAUGAAUUUUAACAGAAAUGUUGUUUCUAUAUUGCUGUGUUCUUCAAGAAAGCAGCAUAUUUGUGUCGGCAUAAGCCAUUAAGAAGACAGUUCCUCAUUAAUGUGAAA
Molecule: long non-coding RNA, 1850 nt
Organism: Poecile atricapillus (Black-capped chickadee)
Lineage: Eukaryota; Metazoa; Chordata; Aves; Passeriformes; Paridae
Exons: 6
Source: RefSeq, a predicted model, not a curated record